GUAACCAAUGUCGACUUGGAGGUUGUGCCCUUGAGGCGUGGCUUCCGAAGUUAACGCGUUAAGUCGCCCGCCUGGGAGUACGGCCGCAAGGUUAAAACUCAAAUGAAUUGACGGGGGCCCGCCCAAGCGGUGGAGCAUGUGGUUUAAUUCGAUGCAACGCGAAGACCCUUACCUGGUCUUGACAUCCACGGAAGUUUCAGAGAUGAGAUGUGCCUUCGGGAACCGUGAGACAGGUGCUGCAUGGCUGUCGUCAGCUCGUGUUGUGAAAUGUUGGGUUAAGUCCCGCAACGAGCGCAACCCUUAUCCUUUGUUGCCAGCGGUCCGGCCGGGAACUCAAAGGAGACUGCCAGUGAUAAACUGGAGGAAGGUGGGGAUGACGUCAAGUCAUCAUGGCCCUUACGACCAGGGCUACACACGUGCUACAAUGGCGCAUACAAAGAGAAGCGACCUCGCGAGAGCAAGCGGACCUCAUAAAGUGCGUCGUAGUCCGGAUUGGAGUCUGCAACUCGACUCCAUGAAGUCGGAAUCGCUAGUAAUCGUGGAUCAGAAUGCCACGGUGAAUACGUUCCCGGGCCUUGUACACACCGCCCGUCACACCAUGGGAGUGGGUUGCAAAAGAAGUAGGUAGCUUAACUUCGGGAGGGCGCUUACCACUUUGUGAUUCAUGACUGGGGUGA
Molecule: ribosomal RNA, 677 nt
Filed under: uncultured bacterium
Lineage: Bacteria
Description: bacterial SSU rRNA
Rfam family: Bacterial small subunit ribosomal RNA
Source: RNAcentral